RNAcentral lists this ribosomal RNA (500 nucleotides) under uncultured bacterium. Its description in RNAcentral is "partial 16S ribosomal RNA". It matches the Rfam family "Bacterial small subunit ribosomal RNA", at positions 30 to 523 of the family's 1533-position model. The record is from RNAcentral.
AUUGAACGCUGGCGGAAUGCUUUACACAUGCAAGUCGAACGGCAGCACGGACUUCGGUCUGGUGGCGAGUGGCGAACGGGUGAGUAAUGUAUCGGAACGUGCCCAGUCGUGGGGGAUAACGUAGUGAAAAUUACGCUAAUACCGCAUACGCACUAUGGAUGAAAGCGGGGGAUCGCAAGACCUUGCGCGAUUGGAGCGGCCGAUAUCAGAUUAGGUAGUUGGUGGGGUAAAGGGCCACCAAGCCAACGAUCUGUAGCUGGGCUGAGAGGACGACCAGCCACACUGGAACUGAGACACGGUCCAGACUCCUACGGGAGGCAGCAGUGGGUAAUUUUGGACAAUGGGCGAAAGCCUGAUCCAGCCAUUCCGCGUGCAGGAUGAAGGCCCUCGGGUUGCAAACUGCUUUUGUACAGAACGAAAAGGUUUCUACUAAUACUAGGAGCUCAUGACGGUACUGUAAGAAUAAGCACCGGCUAACUACGUGCCAGCCGCCGCGGUAA